This 2908-nucleotide ribosomal RNA is filed under the name Philodulcilactobacillus myokonensis. Its description in RNAcentral is "23S ribosomal RNA". It matches the Rfam family "Bacterial large subunit ribosomal RNA". The record is from RNAcentral. Lineage: Bacteria; Bacillati; Bacillota; Bacilli; Lactobacillales; Lactobacillaceae.
UUAAGUUAUGAAGGGCGCAUGGUGGAUGCCUUGGCACUAGAAGCCGAUGAAGGACGUGACUAACAGCGAUAUGCUUCGGAGAGCUGUACGUAAGCUUUGAUCCGGAGAUUUCCGAAUGAGGAAACUCAAUAGCUUUAACGAGUUAUUAUUGAUUAAACUUAGUUUAAUCAAAGGUAAACGUGGGGAACUGAAACAUCUCAGUACCCGCAGGAAAAUAAAGAAAUUUCGAUUCCCUUAGUAGCGGCGAGCGAACGGGGAACAGCCCAAACCAACGAGCUUGCUCGUUGGGGUUGUAGGACUGAACAUUUGAGUUACCAAAGAUUUUAAUAACUGAAAAACCUGGAAAGGUUUGCCAAAGUGGGUGACAGCCCCGUAAGUGAAAUUAAAAUCUCUCAGUUCAGGAUCCUGAGUACGGCGAUACACGUGAAACAUCGUCGGAAUCCGGGAGGACCAUCUCCCAAGGCUAAAUACUAACUAGUGACCGAUAGUGAACCAGUACCGUGAGGGAAAGGUGAAAAGCACCCCGGAAGGGGAGUGAAAUAGUUCUUGAAACCAUGUGCCUACAAGCAGUUAGAGCCCGUUAACGGGUGAUAGCGUGCCUCUUGCAGAAUGAACCGGCGAGUUAUGAUUACAUGCAAGGUUAAGAUGAUAAGUCGGAGCCGCAGCGAAAGCGAGUCUGAAACGGGCGUUUCAGUAUGUAAUGAUAGACCCGAAACCAGGUGAUCUACCCAUGUCCAGGAUGAAAGUGCGGUAAAACGCACCGGAGGUCCGAACUUGUGUACGUUGAAAAGUGCUAAGAUGAGAUGUGGGUAGCGGUGAAAUUCCAAACGAACUUGGAGAUAGCUGGUUCUCUCCGAAAUAGCUUUAGGGUUAGCCUUGGAGUUGAGAAUCAUGGAGGUAGAGCGACUGUUUAGACGAGGGGCUCAUCUUGAGUUACUAAGUUUAGAUAAACUCCGAAGCCCAUUGAUUUAUAUCCAGGAGUCAGACGAUGAGUGAUAAGAUCCACCGUCGAAAGGGAAACAGCCCAGACCACCAAUUAAGGUCCCUAAAUACAUGCUAAGUGGAAAAGGAAGUGGAGUUGCAUAGACAACUAGGAUGUUGGCUCAGAAGCAGCCAUCAUUUAAAGAGUGCGUAAUAGCUCACUAGUCGAGUGAUUUUGCGCCGAAAAUUUACCGGGGCUAAGCAUGUUACCGAGAUUGUGGACGUGACUUCGUCACGUGAUAGGAGAGCGUUCUAAGGGCAUUGAAGCAGGAUCGUAAGAACUUGUGGAGCGCUUAGAAGUGAGAAUGCCGGUAUGAGUAGCGAAAAACCAGUGAGAAUCUGGUUCACCGAAUGACUAAGGUUUCCUGGGGAAGGCUCGUCCUCCCAGGGUUAGUCGGGACCUAAGCCCAGGCCGAAAGGCGUAGGCGAUGGAUAACAGGUUGAGAUUCCUGUACUAGUUAGUUGUGCUUGAACGAUGGAAGGACAUAGGAGGCUAAGUUAUGCAUGCCGUUGGAUGUGCAUGUUCAAACUGUAAGUCAGGUCAUGAGUCAAAUGCUUAUGACCGGGUUGACAAGCAGUGAUGAGGACUGAAGUUUAGUAAGGAAGUAACUGACGUCACACUAUCGAGAAAAGUUUCUAGUGAGCAACUAAUUACCCGUACCACAAACCGACACAGGUAGUCGAGGAGAGUAUCCUAAGGUGAGCGAGUGAACCCUCGUUAAGGAACUCGGCAAAAUGACCCCGUAACUUCGGGAGAAGGGGUGCUGCACGCAAGUGCAGCCGCAGUGAAAAGGCUCAGGCGACUGUUUAUUAAAAACACAGGUUUUUGCAAAAUCGUAAGAUGAAGUAUAAGGGCUGACACCUGCCCGGUGCUGGAAGGUUAAAUGGAUGAGUUAGCUUCGGCGAAGCUCAGAAAUGAAGCCCCAGUAAACGGCGGCCGUAACUAUAACGGUCCUAAGGUAGCGAAAUUCCUUGUCGGGUAAGUUCCGACCCGCACGAAAGGUGUAACGAUCUGAGCGCUGUCUCAACGAGGGACUCGGUGAAAUUGAGAUACCUGUGAAGAAGCAGGUUACCCGCGACAGGACGGAAAGACCCCAUGGAGCUUUACUGUAGCUUGAUAUUGGGUGUUGACAUGACUUGUACAGGAUAGGUAGGAGCCGUAGAAACCGGAACGUUAGUUUCGGUGGAGGCGUUGUUGGGAUACUACCCUUGUUGUGUGGACACUCUAACCCGCGCCACUAAUCGUGGCGGGAGACAGUGUCAGGUUGGCAGUUUGACUGGGGCGGUCGCCUCCUAAAUUGUAACGGAGGCGCUCAAAGGUUCCCUCAGAAUGGUUGGAAAUCAUUCAUUGAGUGUAAAGGCAUAAGGGAGCUUGACUGUGAGACAUACAAGUCGAACAGGGACAAAAGUCGGACUUAGUGAUCCGGUGGUUCCAUAUGGAAGGGCCAUCGCUCAACGGAUAAAAGCUACCCUGGGGAUAACAGGCUUAUCUCCCCCAAGAGUUCAUAUCGACGGGGAGGUUUGGCACCUCGAUGUCGGCUCAUCGCAUCCUGGGGCUGUAGUUGGUCCCAAGGGUUGGGCUGUUCGCCCAUUAAAGCGGUACGCGAGCUGGGUUUAGAACGUCGUGAGACAGUUCGGUCCCUAUCCGUCGCGGGCACAGGAAAUUUGAGAGGAUCUAUCCUUAGUACGAGAGGACCGGGAUGGACAUACCGCUGGUGUAUCAGUUGUGCCGCCAGGCGCACUGCUGAGUAGCUAUGUAUGGAUAAGAUAAACGCUGAAAGCAUCUAAGUGUGAAACUUACCUCAAGAUGAGAUUUCCCAUUUCUUCGGAAAGUAAGAUCCCUGAAAGAUGAUCAGGUAGAUAGGCUAGAAGUGGCAGUGCAGUGAUGCAUGAAGCGGACUAGUACUAAUCGAUCGAGGACUUAACC